CGUUGUUCGUGAAAUCUCACGGCUUAACUGUGAGCGUGCGGGCGAUACGGGCAGACUUGAGUACUGCAGGGGAGACUGGAAUUCCUGGUGUAGCGGUGGAAUGCGCAGAUAUCAGGAGGAACACCGGUGGCGAAGGCGGGUCUCUGGGCAGUAACUGACGCUGAGGAGCGAAAGCGUGGGGAGCGAACAGGAUUAGAUACCCUGGUAGUCCACGCCGUAAACGGUGGGUACUAGGUGUGGGUUUCCUUCCUUGGGAUCCGUGCCGUAGCUAACGCAUUAAGUACCCCGCCUGGGGAGUACGGCCGCAAGGCUAAAACUCAAAGAAAUUGACGGGGGCCCGCACAAGCGGCGGAGCAUGUGGAUUAAUUCGAUGCAACGCGAAGAACCUUACCUGGGUUUGACAUGCACAGGACGCCGGCAGAGAUGUCGGUUCCCUUGUGGCCUGUGUGCAGGUGGUGCAUGGCUGUCGUCAGCUCGUGUCGUGAGAUGUUGGGUUAAGUCCCGCAACGAGCGCAACCCUUGUCUCAUGUUGCCAGCGGGUAAUGCCGGGGACUCGUGAGAGACUGCCGGGGUCAACUCGGAGGAAGGUGGGGAUGACGUCAAGUCAUCAUGCCCCUUAUGUCCAGGGCUUCACACAUGCUACAAUGGCCGGUACAAAGGGCUGCGAUGCCGCGAGGUUAAGCGAAUCCUUUUAAAGCCGGUCUCAGUUCGGAUCGGGGUCUGCACUCGACCCCGUGAAGUCGG
Molecule: ribosomal RNA, 744 nt
Filed under: uncultured bacterium
Lineage: Bacteria
Description: bacterial SSU rRNA
Rfam family: Bacterial small subunit ribosomal RNA
Source: RNAcentral